RNAcentral lists this ribosomal RNA (510 nucleotides) under uncultured candidate division MSBL6 bacterium. RNAcentral describes it as "bacterial SSU rRNA". It matches the Rfam family "Bacterial small subunit ribosomal RNA", at positions 903 to 1401 of the family's 1533-position model. The record is from RNAcentral.
AGAGAAUUGACGGGGCCCUGCACAAGCGGUGGAGCACGUGGUUUAAUUCGGACGAUAAGCGAAGAACCUUACCUGGGCUUGACAUACUAGCAGUAGGAGCCAGAGAUGGUAACGACCCCUACUUUUGGUAGGGGAACUAGUACAGGUGAUGCAUGGCUGUCGUCAGCUCGUGUCGUGGGACGUUGGGUUAAGUCCCGAAACGAGCGCAACCCCUGUUGUUAGUUGCCAGCGGGUAAUGCCGGGGACUCUAACAAGACUGCUGGUGAAUAGCCGGAGGAAGGAGGGGAUGACGUCAAGUCAUCAUGUCCCUUAUGUCCAGGGCGACACACAUGCUACAAUGGGAGGUACAAAGGGCUGCUAAACCGUAAGGUCAUGCGAAUCCCAGAGAGCCUUCCUUAGUUCGGAUUGAGGUCUGCAACCCGACCUCAUGAAGCCGGAAUCGCUAGUAAUCGCAGGUCAGCCACACUGCGGUGAAUAUGUACUCAGGGCUUGUACACACCGCCCGUCGCA